RNAcentral lists this long non-coding RNA (300 nucleotides) under Amborella trichopoda. RNAcentral describes it as "long non-coding RNA (ATRI_LNC002409)". The record is from RNAcentral. Lineage: Eukaryota; Viridiplantae; Streptophyta; Magnoliopsida; Amborellales; Amborellaceae.
CUCAAAUAAACGUUUUCUAUAAUACAAUGAACGUCCCUUUCAUUAAAUAAACUGUAGUAUUUUUUGAGAUAUUCGAAUAGGUUAACCUUGAUUGAGAGCACCUUUCCUAUUAUUGUGAAAUUAGAGCUUCAUCUUAUUUGGAAACUAUGUAGACACUCGUCUUUGAACCAAAACGUCAAUUAAUACUACACUUAAAAGGUGCCAUGCGUCCCAAAUUAUAAUUGUUGGGGAGGAAUUACUACUUUCGAUUUUGUUUUAAGGGACCGUUUGAAUGUUGUUAAUAAUAAUUUUGAAGCAGAG